This 1001-nucleotide ribosomal RNA is filed under the name Candidatus Beckwithbacteria bacterium. RNAcentral's name for it is "partial 23S ribosomal RNA". The stretch from base 750 to 988 matches the Rfam family "Bacterial large subunit ribosomal RNA", at positions 2653 to 2912 of the family's 2925-position model. Lineage: Bacteria; Candidatus Beckwithiibacteriota. The record is from RNAcentral.
GAAUUUGACCCUAGUAAACAAUGCUACCUUCGACGGAAACGUCGAAGUGCAACACUUGCUCAAAUUGGUGAAACCCUCUAUAAUAAAAUCGAUGGUCCUGUUGAUUUAGAGGGCCACACCAAGGGAAGAUUUCAAAUCAUGAACUCUCAACAAAGAUCUUAUUUAGCUGGUUUUUUAGACGCUGAUGGCAGCAUUAUGCUUCAGUUUAAAAAACGCGAAGAUGUCCGUUUUAAAUAUCGGGCUAAAGCCGUUAUUUGUUUUUAUCAAAAUGAUAAAGAUAAACCGGGUUUAGAUAAGUUAAGAGAUAUAGCCGGAAUUGGUUAUGUCUACGGCCGAAACGAUAGUAUGGCUGAGUGGCGGAUCGAAGGAUACGCCAGGGUAAAAGAUUUUUUACUCAAGCUAUUGCCAUAUUUAAGAUUUAAACAACGUCAAGCGAAAUUUUUACUGCAAGCCUUGAAAAUUCUGGAAAAGAAAGGCUAUAGCGCAAACGACUUAUUAAAAGUUUGCCUGUUGGCCAAUAAAAUUUCCGAAUUGAAUAAUGCACCUAGGCGCAGAAAAAACAACUAUGAAUCAGUUAAAAAAGAUUUGUUGAAACUUGGUUUGAUUUCCCCUUAACGACUGGAGGUCGCCUUAGGCGACUGAAGAUGGGUAGUUCUUACUAAUAAUUAGUAAAAUUUAUAACACCCAUAAUACGGCAAGCACCUAACCCUCGACGAAAGUCGGGGAACGGUGAAGGUAUAGUCUACACUGUUGGUAACAGCAGAUAAUGUGACGAGAGGACCGGGUUGAGUCAGUCCCUAGUGUGCCGGUUGUGACAUCAGUCGCAGCGCCGGGUAGCUACACUGAUUCGGGAUAACCGCUGAAAGCAUCUAAGCGGGAAGCCCAUCCUAAGAUAAGGAAUCCCUAUAAACCCCUGGUAGACUACCAGGUGAUAGGCAGCCGGUGCAAGAGCCGUAAGGCUUUAAGCCUAGCUGUACUAAUCGGUUGAUUGAAAUUAGACG